RNAcentral lists this ribosomal RNA (455 nucleotides) under uncultured bacterium. Its description in RNAcentral is "bacterial SSU rRNA". It matches the Rfam family "Bacterial small subunit ribosomal RNA", at positions 340 to 786 of the family's 1533-position model. The record is from RNAcentral.
UACGGAAGGCAGCAGUGGGGAAUAUUGCACAAUGGGCGCAAGCCUGAUGCAGCCAUGCCGCGUGUAUGAAGAAGGCCUUCGGGUUGUAAAGUACCUUCAGUCGUGAGGAAGGUGUUAAGGUUAAUAACCUUAGCAAUUGACGUUAGCGACAGAAGAAGCACCGGCUAACUCCGUGCCAGCAGCCGCGGUAAUACGGAGGGUGCGAGCGUUAAUCGGAAUUACUGGGCGUAAAGGGCACGCAGGCGGUUAAUUAAGUUGGAUGUGAAAUCCCCGGGCUUAACCUGGGAAUGGCAUUCAAGACUGGUUAGCUAGAGUCUUGUAGAGGGGGUAGAAUUCCAUGUGUAGCGGUGAAAUGCGUAGAGAUGUAGAGGAAUACCGGUGGCGAAGGCGGCCCCCUGGACAAAGGACUGACGCUCAUGUGCGAAAGCGUGGGGAGCAAACAGGGAUUAGAUACC